RNAcentral lists this ribosomal RNA (490 nucleotides) under uncultured bacterium. RNAcentral describes it as "bacterial SSU rRNA". It matches the Rfam family "Bacterial small subunit ribosomal RNA", at positions 29 to 507 of the family's 1533-position model. The record is from RNAcentral.
AGUGAACGCUGGCGGUAGGCCUAACACAUGCAAGUCGAACGGCAGCACAGGAGAGCUUGCUCUCUGGGUGGCGAGUGGGCGGACGGGUGAGGAAUACAUCGGAAUCUACCUUUCGUGGGGGAUAACGUAGGGAAACUUACGCUAAUACCGCAUAAGACCUUCGGGUGAAAGCAGGGGACCUUCGGGCCUUGCGCGGAUAGAUGAGCCGAUGUCGGAUUAGCUUGUUGGCGGGGUAAAAGCCCACCAAGGCGACGAUCCGUAGCUGGUCUGAGAGGAUGAUCAGCCACACUGGAACUGAGACACGGUCCAGACUCCUACGGGAGGCAGCAGUGGGGAAUAUUGGACAAUGGGCGCAAGCCUGAUCCAGCCAUACCGCGUGGGUGAAGAAGGCCUUCGGGUUGUAAAGCCCUUUUGUUGGGAAAGAAAACUUGCGGGCUAAUACCCAGCAAGUCUGACGGUACCCAAAGAAUAAGCACCGGCUAACUUCGUG